Long non-coding RNA from Anopheles stephensi (Asian malaria mosquito), 1901 nucleotides. RefSeq lists it as uncharacterized. Lineage: Eukaryota; Metazoa; Arthropoda; Insecta; Diptera; Culicidae. The record is from RefSeq and is a predicted model, not a curated record. The transcript has 4 exons.
UGUUCAGAAUGUACUAGGUUAAGCUCUCUGCACAAUUUUAUCGUGAAUCAGAUUUAAGUAAAAUUAGUUUAAACGUUGCUAAAGCUAAGUGGCCUCUAAGUGCAGUGUGUGAUAAUAUGAUUUGUGCGUGUGUUACUUUCUUUUCCGGUGUUGCAUCCACUCUGCGGUCUUGGUAUGCUGCAGAUGUCCUUUUGAACCGCCCGGGUCAACCAAUCCGCUACCAUGGCCUUUUUACCGUGAUCUUUUUCUGUGGAACCACUACCAUAAGAAUGAACCUGUUGCAUUAAGGAGAGGCUAUUGUAUCAGGCACUCCGUCGUCCUUUCACAUAACCAGCGCCAAAAAUCCUUAUGAGCAUCUUCCUCUCGAACAGUGACUUGAGACAGAGACCAUAUCGUAGUGGCGUAUGUGAGUCACUGCUACUAAAACGUGAGCCGAAACCGAGAAUUGAUAAAAAUCGUGAGCUGAAGUAUGUCGACUGUUGAUGUUGUCUUUCCAUCCUUGGCUGAAAUUGUUUAAAUUACACUAAUUUGCAUUCAAAAUGCACUAAAAUAAUGUGAGCUGAAGAAGGAAACACACAACACACAAAGCCAAAUUAGCAAUGACCAAAUUGACGAUCACAUAAAUCAAAUGCAGCACCCCGCCAUGAUAGACGGUUCAAUUCAACGUCGCUGACACACGCACAAGGCGAGAACGAGCGGGGUACGUAUGCACUUUGGCACAAGUGCAUUUCCAUAAUGUUGCAGCGCUGAGCAUACGAACCUUCAGUUGCCAGUUGUUCGGCUGCAUCGGUGACUUGGUGUGGUGAUUUGCAUACGGAUCCAUUCCCGGGCACGCGGUACCGCGGCAUGUUGAAGAACUCCGUCGAAUUGCGUCAUGUUGUAGCUGUGGCACAGAUCCUGCCUCUAGUGCCAAAGAGUGGUGCACCCAACAAUUAUUAAGUGAAACCUUGCGCGAAAAGACUCCGCUGCCGAGGACCGGGAGAUUCGAUCGAAUUCUCGGAUCCAUUUUACCGCUGGAUGAUUGAUGCUAUCGCUUGUGGAACCUGGAACAACAAACGCGAGCGCACGUGUGCCGCGAAACACAUCGGUGUACUUGUGGUGUAAAGUCUUUGAUCGUCGGCACCGAUUCCGAACGCCCGCCUGCAGCGUUACAAUGUUUUUUUCGGAUACGGUGAAUUAUUGUUGUGCCUGUUGCAUGAAGUAGCGCCGCGGUGUUGUUUAGCCAUGUCGUGCGCGAUUGAAGCGCGAUCGUGGCUGGGAUUUGUUUGUGAUCUUAAUCGAAAACCGUGAAACCGUGUGGAAUGAUUAAGACGGAUCGGAUGACGGAUAAGGGAGGUAAUUUUCUGUCAAAGCGGGUUUUGAUUCGUGCAAAUUGUGGUUGAUAAACUUGUUCAAUCAAUCGAGCGGUGAAAAGCGGACACGGGUUUCUUGUUUCUUACGCAGAAUUUACUUACCUAAAGGUCUGAAUCUGAUCGUUCAAAGACGCUCGCAGUUUAUCGGUAUUCUAUCGUCCGGUGAUCUUUACUAUUCGUCAAAUUAAUUCCUCGGUUCGGUAGCAAAGGCGACAGCCGUGCCGUUCUUCACACGUUAGGAGCGGUGUUUAGAUCCCAUCCAGAUCGCCUCCCCGUAUGCAGGACUGACUUUACUACCUUGCUGUCCGGAAAGUGUCUCUAUGCUAGGACCUUCUCAAUAUAAAACUUCCUUAGGUAUCUCCAAUGAAAUUCUCUCAGUAAAAUCUUGGCCUUGUCUCACCAAUCUUUGGAUAAAACUUUUUUCAAUCGGCCUAGUAGUCAGGCUCUCCACUGAUACUACUUAUAUCUUCGAUUGUCAAAUCCUUGCUUCCGAUACUUCUACUGAAUAUAAUCAAAUCCAAAUUUGGCAAAAGUAUCCUCAAAAUCUUA